GAUGAACGCUGGCGGCGUGCCUAAUACAUGCAGGUCGAGCGAACGGACGAGAAGCUUGCUUUUCUGAUGUUAGCGGCGGACGGGUGAGUAACACGUGGAUAACCUACCUAUAAGACUGGGAUAACUUCGGGAAACCGGAGCUAAUACCGGAUAAUAUUUUGAACCGCAUGGUUCAAAAGUGAAAGACGGUCUUGCUGUCACUUAUAGAUGGAUCCGCGCUGCAUUAGCUAGUUGGUAAGGUAACGGCUUACCAAGGCAACGAUGCAUAGCCGACCUGAGAGGGUGAUCGGCCACACUGGAACUGAGACACGGUCCAGACUCCUACGGGAGGCAGCAGUAGGGAAUCUUCCGCAAUGGGCGAAAGCCUGACGGAGCAACGCCGCGUGAGUGAUGAAGGUCUUCGGAUCGUAAAACUCUGUUAUUAGGGAAGAACAUAUGCGUAAGUAACUGUGCACAUCUUGACGGUACCUAAUCAGAAAGCCACGGCUAACUACGUG
This 497-nucleotide ribosomal RNA is filed under the name uncultured bacterium. RNAcentral's name for it is "partial 16S ribosomal RNA". It matches the Rfam family "Bacterial small subunit ribosomal RNA", at positions 28 to 507 of the family's 1533-position model. The record is from RNAcentral.